Molecule: long non-coding RNA, 414 nt
Filed under: Sus scrofa (pig)
Lineage: Eukaryota; Metazoa; Chordata; Mammalia; Artiodactyla; Suidae
Description: lncRNA (ENSSSCG00040018356.1, ENSSSCG00060029045.1)
Source: RNAcentral
AUGGGAUUCUCAGUGGUGGAAUUUUCCACUCAUUUAUUCUUUCAUUUUCCAUCUCCCUUUGCCUUCAAGUGUCAGUUGGCUCCUCUCGGUCACAGCUGUACAAAUCACAGGACUUUUUUUUUCCUUGGCAAACGACAUAUAUAUUAUUCAUCUAUUGAGGGUUCUCUGAAGGAAAUCCAACACAGACACAGUUGCAUUUUCCAAACAGAAAUAUUUAAAGCUGCUUUUUCCUCACAAGAAUCCAGAGAGAAGACUCUAUCUAUGAUCUAUGCAAGUUUUCUCCAUUGACAGAGAAAAGAAGUGCAAAGCCACCAACAACUCCAGGGACAACCACCUUUGGAAAUGUGGGCUUUGAUCACAUGAAGUACAGAACCAAGAUAAGCAACAAUAAAUCUGUGGGGUCACGUCUGUGCA